Molecule: ribosomal RNA, 499 nt
Filed under: uncultured bacterium
Lineage: Bacteria
Description: partial 16S ribosomal RNA
Rfam family: Bacterial small subunit ribosomal RNA
Source: RNAcentral
ACUCAAAUGAAUUGACGGGGGCCCGCACAAGCGGUGGAGCAUGUGGUUUAAUUCGAUGCAACGCGAAGAACCUUACCUACCCUUGACAUCCUACGAAUUACUCAGAGAUGAGUGAGUGCCGAAAGGAACGUAGAGACAGGUGCUGCAUGGCUGUCGUCAGCUCGUGUUGUGAGAUGUUGGGUUAAGUCCCGUAACGAGCGCAACCCUUAUCCUUAGUUGCCAACACGUAAUGGUGGGGACUCUAAGGAGACUGCCGGUGAUGAACCGGAGGAAGGUGGGGACGACGUCAAGUCAUCAUGGCCUUUAUGGGUAGGGCUACACACGUGCUACAAUGGACGGUACAGAGGGUCGCGAACUCGCGAGAGGGAGCCAAUCUCAGAAAGCCGUUCGUAGUCCGGAUUGAAGUCUGCAACUCGACUUCAUGAAGUCGGAAUCGCUAGUAAUCGCGAAUCAGAAUGUCGCGGUGAAUACGUUCCCGGGCCUUGUACACACCGCCCGU